Molecule: transfer RNA, 75 nt
Filed under: Ichthyoelephas longirostris
Lineage: Eukaryota; Metazoa; Chordata; Actinopteri; Characiformes; Prochilodontidae
Description: tRNA-Lys
Rfam family: tRNA
About the family: Transfer RNA (tRNA) molecules are approximately 80 nucleotides in length. Their secondary structure includes four short double-helical elements and three loops (D, anti-codon, and T loops).
Source: RNAcentral
CACUAGGUAGCUAAAUCAGGGUACAGCGUUAGCCUUUUAAGCUAAAGAUUGGUGGCUCCCGCCCGCCUCUAGUGA